UCGCGUGUGUGCUAUUUUUGAGCCGAUUCAUUGAACAUUAAAUGAUGACAAAAAUGAAAAAAAUAACAAAUCAUUUUACCAUUAAAGAUUGUAAUAAUGGCAAUGGUGAUCAGCGUAGCAAAUCAAAGUGUGCGAAACUGACUCAGCAGGUUCUAUCUGAAGAAAAUGUCAGUGAACAGCAUAUGCCAAGCAAGGGAAGUGUUGAUGUUAAACAGAGAACAAUCACUCAAAAACGUUCUGUGAAUGGAAAAAAGUUAUUCUUGGCUCCUGUAUGACACAGUGACCAAACAAUGAAAUGUUCUUUGUGUCUCCAGUAUCCGAAUAUUGCAAACAAUCAGAGUGCAUAUUUGAAGGGAACUGGAAAUUUCAAGAUUGAAAGCAUAAAGAAAUAUGACAUAUCAGCUAAAAAGAAAAGCG
This 417-nucleotide long non-coding RNA is filed under the name Androctonus crassicauda. Lineage: Eukaryota; Metazoa; Arthropoda; Arachnida; Scorpiones; Buthidae. The record is from RNAcentral.